RNAcentral lists this transfer RNA (70 nucleotides) under Loxodonta africana (African savanna elephant). It matches the Rfam family "tRNA". From Rfam's summary of the family: Transfer RNA (tRNA) molecules are approximately 80 nucleotides in length. Their secondary structure includes four short double-helical elements and three loops (D, anti-codon, and T loops). Further hydrogen bonds mediate the characteristic L-shaped molecular structure. tRNAs have two regions of fundamental functional importance: the anti-codon, which is responsible for specific mRNA codon recognition, and the 3' end, to which the tRNAs corresponding amino acid is attached (by aminoacyl-tRNA synthetases). tRNAs cope with the degeneracy of the genetic code in two manners: having more than one tRNA (with a specific anti-codon) for a particular amino acid; and 'wobble' base-pairing, i.e. permitting non-standard base-pairing at the 3rd anti-codon position. The record is from Rfam by way of RNAcentral. Lineage: Eukaryota; Metazoa; Chordata; Mammalia; Proboscidea; Elephantidae.
GCAUUGGUGCUUCAGUGGUAGAAUGCUCACUUUCCAUGCGGGAGACUGGGUUUGAUUCUUGGCCAGUGCA